GAGUCUUUGAACGCAAGUUGCGCCCAAAGCCUUUAGGUUGAGGGCACGUCUGCCUGGGCGUCA
This 63-nucleotide ribosomal RNA is filed under the name Paeonia sinjiangensis. RNAcentral describes it as "partial 5.8S ribosomal RNA". The record is from RNAcentral. Lineage: Eukaryota; Viridiplantae; Streptophyta; Magnoliopsida; Saxifragales; Paeoniaceae.